AUCCAUUUGUCGAGUCCCAAGUAGGACGAAACUCGCGUUCUGGAU
This 45-nucleotide non-coding RNA is filed under the name Schistosoma curassoni. The record is from RNAcentral. Lineage: Eukaryota; Metazoa; Platyhelminthes; Trematoda; Strigeidida; Schistosomatidae.